AGGGUGAAAUUAUAAGACAUCCUUCAUUAGAAUUGCUAUUAAUGCUUGUGUUUUAGAGUAGCUAACUAGAAUCAUGAUCUUAAAAUUGUAUACAACUAUGACGGUAGGUUCUUUACCUGGAUUAAUUCUCUUGAGCUAGGAUUGCUAGAAACAUGCGACAAAUGAUCUAGGACGAUUAGUAAACUUAUCGAAUAGAACCUUAAAAUCGGCCUAAGGUAGUAUCGAUCGACACUAGAAAGGUAGCGCUGAUCGAC
This 254-nucleotide long non-coding RNA is filed under the name Brassica napus (rape). Its description in RNAcentral is "long non-coding RNA (BNAP_LNC011723)". The record is from RNAcentral. Lineage: Eukaryota; Viridiplantae; Streptophyta; Magnoliopsida; Brassicales; Brassicaceae.